GACGAACGCUGGCGGCGUGCUUAACACAUGCAAGUCGAACGGAAAGGCCCUGCUUUUGUGGGGUGCUCGAGUGGCGAACGGGUGAGUAACUCGUGAGUAACCUGCCCUUGACUUUGGGAUAACUUCAGGAAACUGGGGCUAAUACCGGAUAGGAGCUCCUGCUGCAUGGUGGGGGUUGGAAAGUUUCGGCGGUUGGGGAUGGACUCGCGGCUUAUCAGCUUGUUGGUGGGGUAGUGGCUUACCAAGGCUUUGACGGGUAGCCGGCCUGAGAGGGCGACCGGCCACAUUGGGACUGAGAUACGGCCCAGACUCCUACGGGAGGCAGCAGUGGGGAAUAUUGCACAAUGGGCGGAAGCCUGAUGCAGCAACGCCGCGUGCGGGAUGACGGCCUUCGGGUUGUAAACCGCUUUCGCCUGUGACGAAGCGUGAGUGACGGUAAUGGGUAAAGAAGCACCGGCUAACUACGUG
RNAcentral lists this ribosomal RNA (468 nucleotides) under uncultured bacterium. Its description in RNAcentral is "partial 16S ribosomal RNA". It matches the Rfam family "Bacterial small subunit ribosomal RNA", at positions 28 to 507 of the family's 1533-position model. The record is from RNAcentral.